This is a long non-coding RNA of Lucilia cuprina (Australian sheep blowfly), 1032 nucleotides long. RefSeq lists it as uncharacterized. The transcript is spliced from 2 exons. The record is from RefSeq and is a predicted model, not a curated record. NCBI's taxonomy places the organism in Eukaryota, Metazoa, Arthropoda, Insecta, Diptera, Calliphoridae.
AAAAUACUACAUAUCUUUUCACACAUUUUUUGCUGUGUUAAGGUAAAAAUAAGUGACAAGCUUAUUUUAAAUAGACUUCACCUUAUAAGUGCACCCUGAAUUUAGCUAACUUAGCCGGCUUACAGUCGAUUUUAUGCCGCCGCCGAAAUUUUUAAUGUCAACCGCCUCCGCCGUUAAUAGUUGUCGGCGCAGUGCUCUGUGAACAUCGUCGCGUAUUACGCGUUUUAAGUAGAUGAAGAAAAAAUACGGAAAAAUAUAAUUCAACGACAAAAUUUAAUUAAUUUUGUAAAUUUUAGUCUGUAGUUUUAAUUAAAUUUAAAAUAAGCAAUAAAUAUAAACGAAAAAAUCUUUUGAGUGUAAAAUCGUCGCGUAUUGAAAAAGAUUUACGUGCAAUUCGAUUAUUUACACACAAAUUAUUAUGAAAAAAACCAACCCAACAAAGAAAAGUUUCUCCACAAAUGUAUAAAAAAGUUUUGUUGUAAUUCUACACAAAUAAAAAAGUUAAAAGAAAAAACUCGACACUAUAAAAAUGGCGAGCAGUUUUUAAAAGAAUGUGAUUGAAAAAUAAACGAAAUAAUAAAAAGAAAAAAACUAAAUUAGGUGCAUAAAAAUUGAACGAAAAUAAUUAAAAUUUUUGAACUAAUUUCUAUGAAAAAUUAAAGCAACCAGGAAAAAAAACGACAAAGAAAUUCUUCACGAAGGGACAAAAAAAAAGAAGAAAAAAUCACGCCAAAAAAGUGUGUUAUACACGGUGUCAUUUUACAUUGAGUUUUAUCGCGUGUUUGUCAGUUUGUGUACGACAUUAUCAUUUCUGUCUGUAUGCGAAUAAAAGACAAAAGGGAAAUGUGAAGAAACAUAGAAGAAUAAAACGAAACAACAAACAAGGAGAACAAACAACUACAUUUUUUAUUCAUUUCUUUUGAUUUGGUUUCAAACACUAAUGAAUUGAAAAAUUAGUCUUACACAAUAACAAAAAUAAAAUUUAAAUCUUUAUAAUAAAAUAAUAAUAAAAAUUUGAUGUAAAUAGUUAAA